GUGCUCGCUUCGGCAGCACAUAUACUAAAUUGGAACGAUACAGAGAAGAUUAGCAUGGCCCCUGUGCAAGGAUGACAUGCGAAUUCAUGAAGCGUUCCAUAUUUUU
RNAcentral lists this small nuclear RNA (106 nucleotides) under Jaculus jaculus (lesser Egyptian jerboa). The record is from RNAcentral. Lineage: Eukaryota; Metazoa; Chordata; Mammalia; Rodentia; Dipodidae.